RNAcentral lists this ribosomal RNA (223 nucleotides) under uncultured bacterium. RNAcentral's name for it is "partial 16S ribosomal RNA". It matches the Rfam family "Bacterial small subunit ribosomal RNA", at positions 524 to 747 of the family's 1533-position model. The record is from RNAcentral.
UACGUAGGGGGCUAGCGUUGUCCGGAAUCAUUGGGCGUAAAGCGCGUGUAGGUGGCUCGGUAAGUCCGCUGUGAAAGUCGGGGGGCUCAACCUCGAUGCCGGUGGAUACUGUCGGGCUAGAGUACGGAAGAGGCGAGUGGAAUUCCUGGUGUAGCGGUGAAAUGCGCAGAUAUCAGGAGGAACACCAAUUGCGAAGGCAGCUCGCUGGGACGUUACUGACGCU